UACAGAGGGGGCUAGCGUUAUUCGGAAUUAUUGGGCGUAAAGGGCGCGUAGGCGGCCUUGCGUGUCUUCCGUGAAAUCCCUCGGCUUAACUGAGGACGUGCGGAAGAAACUGCAGGGCUCGAGUCCGGGAGAGGGGGGUGGAAUUCCCAGUGUAGCGGUGAAAUGCGUAGAUAUCGGGAGGAACACCAGUGGCGAAGGCGACUACCUGGCCUGUUCUUGACGCUGAGGCGCGAAAGCUAGGGGAGCAAACGGG
Molecule: ribosomal RNA, 253 nt
Filed under: uncultured prokaryote
Description: partial 16S ribosomal RNA
Rfam family: Bacterial small subunit ribosomal RNA
Source: RNAcentral